This 400-nucleotide ribosomal RNA is filed under the name phytoplankton environmental sample. RNAcentral's name for it is "partial small subunit ribosomal RNA". It matches the Rfam family "Eukaryotic small subunit ribosomal RNA", at positions 587 to 989 of the family's 1831-position model. The record is from RNAcentral.
AGCUCCAUUAGCGUAUAUUAAAGUUGUUGCAGUUAAAAAGCUCGUAGUUGGAUUUCGGUGUGGGCCAGUGGGUCGGCCGCGAGGCCUGUUACUGACUGGUCCGCUCUUCCUCUCAAAGACUGCGCGUGCCCUUCGCUGGGUGUGCGUAUUUGGAUUUGGGACGUUUACUUUGAAAAAAUUAGAGUGUUCAAGGCAGGCUCGCCAGCUUGAAUACAUGAGCAUGGAAUAAUGGAAUAGGACCUGAUCCUGUUUUGUUGGUUUGUCGGUAUUAGGUAAUGAUUAAGAGGGACGGUCGGGGGCAUUUGUAUUCCAGGGUUAGAGGUGAAAUUCUUGGAUCCUUGGAAGACAAACAGCUGCGAAAGCGUCUGCCAAGGACGUUUUCAUUGAUCAAGAACGAAAG